Non-coding RNA from Aspergillus ellipticus CBS 707.79, 97 nucleotides. NCBI's taxonomy places the organism in Eukaryota, Fungi, Ascomycota, Eurotiomycetes, Eurotiales, Aspergillaceae. The record is from the annotation of a GenBank genome assembly.
GGGGCAAUGGCGCAUCUGGGAGCGCGUCAGACUGAAGACUUCCUGGAACAGGAAGUCCGAUAUCUGGAGGUGGCCGGUUCAAGCCCGGCUUGCCCCA